CAAGUAGUCCCUAGGAGAAGGGUUUGUUGUUUACAUCAACAUUGUAGUUGUGCAGUUCAACUUUACUUGA
Molecule: transfer RNA, 70 nt
Filed under: Mezira sp.
Lineage: Eukaryota; Metazoa; Arthropoda; Insecta; Hemiptera; Aradidae
Description: tRNA-Val
Source: RNAcentral